This 467-nucleotide ribosomal RNA is filed under the name uncultured bacterium. Its description in RNAcentral is "partial 16S ribosomal RNA". It matches the Rfam family "Bacterial small subunit ribosomal RNA", at positions 28 to 507 of the family's 1533-position model. The record is from RNAcentral.
GACGAACGCUGGCGGCGUGCUUAACACAUGCAAGUCGAACGGAAAGGCCCUGCUUUUGUGGGGUGCUCGAGUGGCGAACGGGUGAGUAACACGUGAGUAACCUGCCCUUGACUUUGGGAUAACUUCAGGAAACUGGCCUAAUACCGGAUAGGAGCUCCUGCUGCAUGGUGGGGGUUGGAAAGUUUCGGCGGUUGGGGAUGGACUCGCGGCUUAUCAGCUUGUUGGUGGGGUAGUGGCUUACCAAGGCUUUGACGGGUAGCCGGCCUGAGAGGGUGACCGGCCACAUUGGGACUGAGAUACGGCCCAGACUCCUACGGGAGGCAGCAGUGGGGAAUAUUGCACAAUGGGCGGAAGCCUGAUGCAGCAACGCCGCGUGCGGGAUGACGGCCUUCGGGUUGUAAACCGCUUUCGCCUGUGACGAAGCGUGAGUGACGGUAAUGGGUAAAGAAGCACCGGCUAACUACGUG